ACCCCUUCAACAGCAAACACAUGAGCUGGCGUAUCGAGACGCAUCAUGGUCAAAUUAGGAACUUCAUUCCAGAACUUCACCAUAAUCAUUAAAGCCAACGUUGCAAGAGCAUCUGCCAUCCUAUUUUCAUCUUGAGGCAUAUGAUGAAACUCAACCUUUGUAAAGAAAUUUGAAAUCCUUCUCGCAUAGUCUCUAUAUGGUAUCAAACCGGGUUGAUUC
Molecule: long non-coding RNA, 219 nt
Filed under: Lathyrus oleraceus (garden pea)
Lineage: Eukaryota; Viridiplantae; Streptophyta; Magnoliopsida; Fabales; Fabaceae
Description: Pisum sativum (pea) long non-coding RNA (PSAT_LNC037371)
Source: RNAcentral